UGGGGAAUAUUGCACAAUGGGGGAAACCCUGAUGCAGCGACGCCGCGUGAACGAAGAAGGUAUUCGUAUCGUAAAGUUCUGUCCUAUGGGAAGAUAAUGACAGUACCAUAGAAGAAAGCUCCGGCUAAAUACGUGCCAGCAGCCGCGGUAAUACGUAGGGAGCGAGCGUUGUCCGGAAUUAGUGGGCGUAAGGGUACGCAGGCGGUUUAAUAAGUGGAAUGUUAAAGAUCGGGGCUCAACCCCGCAAAGCAUUGGAAACUGAUAACCUUGAGUAGUGGAGAAGAAAGUGGAAUUCCUAGUGUCGUGGUGAAAUACGUAGUUAUUAGGAGGAAUACCAGUAGCGAAGGCGACUUUCUGGACACCAACUGACGCUGAGGUACGAAAGCGUGGGGAGCAAACAGG
RNAcentral lists this ribosomal RNA (402 nucleotides) under bacterium. RNAcentral's name for it is "partial 16S ribosomal RNA". It matches the Rfam family "Bacterial small subunit ribosomal RNA", at positions 355 to 776 of the family's 1533-position model. The record is from RNAcentral.